UUAAGCGACUAAGCGUACACGGUGGAUGCCCUGGCAGUCAGAGGCGAUGAAGGACGUGCUAAUCUGCGAUAAGCGUCGGUAAGGUGAUAUGAACCGUUAUAACCGGCGAUUUCCGAAUGGGGAAACCCAGUGUGUUUCGACACACUAUCAUUAACUGAAUCCAUAGGUUAAUGAGGCGAACCGGGGGAACUGAAACAUCUAAGUACCCGAGGAAAGAAAUCAACCGAGAUUCCCCCAGUAGCGGCGAGCGAACGGGGAGCAGCCCAGAGCCUGAAUCAGUGUGUGUGUUAGUGGAAGCGUCUGGAAAGGCGCGCGAUACAGGGUGACAGCCCCGUACACAAAAAUGCACAUGCUGUGAGCUCGAUGAGUAGGGCGGGACACGUGGUAUCCUGUCUGAAUAUGGGGGGACCAUCCUCCAAGGCUAAAUACUCCUGACUGACCGAUAGUGAACCAGUACCGUGAGGGAGAGGCGAAAAGAACCCCGGCGAGGGGAGUGAAAAAGAACCUGAAACCGUGUACGUACAAGCAGUGGGAGCACGCUUAGGCGUGUGACUGCGUACCUUUUGUAUAAUGGGUCAGCGACUUAUAUUCUGUAGCAAGGUUAACCGAAUAGGGGAGCCGAAGGGAAACCGAGUCUUAACUGGGCGUUAAGUUGCAGGGUAUAGACCCGAAACCCGGUGAUCUAGCCAUGGGCAGGUUGAAGGUUGGGUAACACUAACUGGAGGACCGAACCGACUAAUGUUGAAAAAUUAGCGGAUGACUUGUGGCUGGGGGUGAAAGGCCAAUCAAACCGGGAGAUAGCUGGUUCUCCCCGAAAGCUAUUUAGGUAGCGCCUCGUGAAUUCAUCUCCGGGGGUAGAGCACUGUUUCGGCAAGGGGGUCAUCCCGACUUACCAACCCGAUGCAAACUGCGAAUACUGGAGAAUGUUAUCACGGGAGACACACGGCGGGUGCUAACGUCCGUCGUGAAGAGGGAAACAACCCAGACCGCCAGCUAAGGUCCCAAAGUCAUGGUUAAGUGGGAAACGAUGUGGGAAGGCCCAGACAGCCAGGAUGUUGGCUUAGAAGCAGCCAUCAUUUAAAGAAAGCGUAAUAGCUCACUGGUCGAGUCGGCCUGCGCGGAAGAUGUAACGGGGCUAAACCAUGCACCGAAGCUGCGGCAGCGACACUAUGUGUUGCUGGGUAGGGGAGCGUUCUGUAAGCCUGUGAAGGUGUGCUGUGAGGCAUGCUGGAGGUAUCAGAAGUGCGAAUGCUGACAUAAGUAACGAUAAAGCGGGUGAAAAGCCCGCUCGCCGGAAGACCAAGGGUUCCUGUCCAACGUUAAUCGGGGCAGGGUGAGUCGACCCCUAAGGCGAGGCCGAAAGGCGUAGUCGAUGGGAAACAGGUUAAUAUUCCUGUACUGGUGUUACUGCGAAGGGGGGACGGAGAAGGCUAUGUUGGCCGGGCGACGGUUGUCCCGGUUUAAGCGUGUAGGCUGGUUUUCCAGGCAAAUCCGGAAAAUCAAGGCUGAGGCGUGAUGACGAGGCACUACGGUGCUGAAGCAACAAAUGCCCUGCUUCCAGGAAAAGCCUCUAAGCAUCAGGUAACAUCAAAUCGUACCCCAAACCGACACAGGUGGUCAGGUAGAGAAUACCAAGGCGCUUGAGAGAACUCGGGUGAAGGAACUAGGCAAAAUGGUGCCGUAACUUCGGGAGAAGGCACGCUGAUAUGUAGGUGAAGUCCCUUGCGGAUGGAGCUGAAAUCAGUCGAAGAUACCAGCUGGCUGCAACUGUUUAUUAAAAACACAGCACUGUGCAAACACGAAAGUGGACGUAUACGGUGUGACGCCUGCCCGGUGCCGGAAGGUUAAUUGAUGGGGUUAGCCGCAAGGCGAAGCUCUUGAUCGAAGCCCCGGUAAACGGCGGCCGUAACUAUAACGGUCCUAAGGUAGCGAAAUUCCUUGUCGGGUAAGUUCCGACCUGCACGAAUGGCGUAAUGAUGGCCAGGCUGUCUCCACCCGAGACUCAGUGAAAUUGAACUCGCUGUGAAGAUGCAGUGUACCCGCGGCAAGACGGAAAGACCCCGUGAACCUUUACUAUAGCUUGACACUGAACAUUGAGCCUUGAUGUGUAGGAUAGGUGGGAGGCUUUGAAGUGUGGACGCCAGUCUGCAUGGAGCCGACCUUGAAAUACCACCCUUUAAUGUUUGAUGUUCUAACGUUGACCCGUAAUCCGGGUUGCGGACAGUGUCUGGUGGGUAGUUUGACUGGGGCGGUCUCCUCCUAAAGAGUAACGGAGGAGCACGAAGGUUGGCUAAUCCUGGUCGGACAUCAGGAGGUUAGUGCAAUGGCAUAAGCCAGCUUGACUGCGAGCGUGACGGCGCGAGCAGGUGCGAAAGCAGGUCAUAGUGAUCCGGUGGUUCUGAAUGGAAGGGCCAUCGCUCAACGGAUAAAAGGUACUCCGGGGAUAACAGGCUGAUACCGCCCAAGAGUUCAUAUCGACGGCGGUGUUUGGCACCUCGAUGUCGGCUCAUCACAUCCUGGGGCUGAAGUAGGUCCCAAGGGUAUGGCUGUUCGCCAUUUAAAGUGGUACGCGAGCUGGGUUUAGAACGUCGUGAGACAGUUCGGUCCCUAUCUGCCGUGGGCGCUGGAGAACUGAGGGGGGCUGCUCCUAGUACGAGAGGACCGGAGUGGACGCAUCACUGGUGUUCGGGUUGUCAUGCCAAUGGCACUGCCCGGUAGCUAAAUGCGGAAGAGAUAAGUGCUGAAAGCAUCUAAGCACGAAACUUGCCCCGAGAUGAGUUCUCCCUGACCCUUUAAGGGUCCUGAAGGAACGUUGAAGACGACGACGUUGAUAGGCCGGGUGUGUAAGCGCAGCGAUGCGUUGAGCUAACCGGUACUAAUGAACCGUGAGGCUUAACCUU
This 2900-nucleotide ribosomal RNA is filed under the name Escherichia coli DEC6E. RNAcentral describes it as "bacterial LSU rRNA". It matches the Rfam family "Bacterial large subunit ribosomal RNA". Lineage: Bacteria; Pseudomonadati; Pseudomonadota; Gammaproteobacteria; Enterobacterales; Enterobacteriaceae. The record is from RNAcentral.